UAUUUAUAUUUCGAGAAGUUCAAGUUCUGUACACUAGUACACCCCUAGUUUACAGGGUAUGCUUAGCCAGUUGAAACAAUCCUUAAGUUUUGCAUAAAGCGGAGCUGGCAAAGCUCAUUUUGUACAGCAGCAACCUUCGAGGCGUGUAAUCACAGAGGGGAACAUGGCUAACAUAUCUAAUAGAAACGCACAAGCUGCAGCCCCUUUCCCUCUGUGAGUUUCGUAUGCCACGGCCUUUGGCAGUGAAUUAUUUGCAAUUCUGCGAGGAUGACGGCGACGACGAAGGCGACCACGAGCGCCACAUUGUCAUAGAAAUGAUUAACAAGGCGGGCCACAAAGUUGCCGACUUGGAGCACAAAGGCGGCUGGUAAAAAAAUCGGAAAAAAGAGGGGAUAACCCCGGAGCUCUUCACACACGCACACAAAGGCCGCUGCGUGCAGAGUUCAAGCCGAACACUUGCCACAAACUCCGGCGGAUUGACACGACAACAAUGUGGCAAGAUGGCAGCCGGGGAUCUCUCUCUCCGGAUCCCCACCUAAUAUGCAGUUGACAAGUUUUAAUGAAAAAAAGGAAAAAAUAAGUUGAUGUGGAGAAGACGAACGACGGGAUAGAAGUAGAGGAAGAUGUAGAUCCAGCCCGCUCGAUAAAAGAUUAUUAAAAUUAUCCAAACGAAUGGCAAAAGUUCGCUGCAGCAGUUUGUCAAAGGUUCAAAAGGUUAUCUGCAGCACACGCACACUGGCACACACUCGGAAAAUCUUACGCUCGGAAAAGCGGUGGAAACUCACUCACUUGACGGCCCUUGGUUUACGUGUGCGCGGGUCUACAAAGUUGACAGACAUUUUCCACAAGCAAACGUCAAGCACCCAUCCAGCACUCGACUUGCAUGUGAAUGUCCCCCACAGAUGGGGUCAGGAAGGUGGUUCCGAUAGUCGCCUAAACUGGGAGGUCGCCAGCCUGCCGGGACUAUAGUGCCGACCGCAACUGUGGUGCAGGGGCUUUAAAUUCUGCGUUAUCUGUCCGCAAGCAGUGAAAAUUAAAUUCUGGCCUGGCACACUGGACAGCGGAGGUGCCCCGAAUGCCCGUACAUGAAAUAUGAAAGUAAUCUCCGCAUAUAUUAAGGCAUUUGACGGCUGCUUUAAUAUGCAGCCAGCCGGCAAAAGGAGGCACAGCCCGGCAUCCCAGCAUCCCGGCAUCCCGACAUCUCGGCUCCUGGGCCCUUGAUACUUUGCAUUUUUGCUGAGGCAAACAUAAUUCGUCUAUUAUGCAGGCUGCCACAGAACAGGACGAACACACACAUGGGAUCGCAUGGCGAGGGGCUGGGACGUAGAGGGGCAGGAUGGCGGAGUUCAUAGAUCCUGACUGGCGCUGUAUUCACUUGGCAAUUACUGCUUUAUUUAUUAUGCCGAAAUGGAUUAUCCCUUGCAGUGCCCGGGGAUGCAAUUUCUGCUUGUGCUGCUAUUUUGUGCCGUCAACAUUUUUUCUGCAGCCCCUCCAUCGCCUAUGCUGGGAGAUUUUCCGAAGCACUUGUGUCGUCGCUCCCGAUGGAAAAUAUUUGCAUGGAAGAACUCUGUGGCAACAAGGCCUACGGCCGGGCUCCACAUCUACCCGUCACUCUUGUAUCUAAGCCACAGGCUGCUGCACCGUUUAAAGCGCACAGAGCUUUCCGGUCGCACAAUUGAAUUAAGUAAAAAUAAGCCUGCGAAGGGACAUUAAAUGCGAGGGCUUAAAUGCAAAUUCCUAGAGCCGCACCGGACUUCGCUGGCCCCUGGCGCACGGCGACAUUUGUAACAAAUUCGAUGCACACGAAAUCCAUAAAUCAAAUCAAUAAAAUGACAGCAUGAAAAAUUGCCAACACAAAAAACCGCAGGCCAAACCAUUAUUUUGGAGUCAAAAAAUCGACGGCGAGAGGCGAAAUGUCGCCGGUUUUUACAGGACACCGAGACAAAAAGCACAAAGGGAGCCCCGAAUGAAAUCCGCAACCGCACUCUGAAUGGCAAUCAGCAGUUAGAACAAAACCCUGGCCAUAAUAAUAAUAAUAAUAGAACAAUGCGGGAGCGAUAUGCAAUGGAAGUUAACCUUUCGACACCUACAAAUAAAUAAAUGGCCAAGUAAAUAUUGUAAACAGCGCAGCAGCAAACACAAAAAAGGGGGAGUUUCGCACGGAAAGGCUGUGACGAAACAUGGAAACCGUUUCCAGGAGGCUGGUCUGGUCCUGGGCACUGGCAACGGGUCGUAUGGAUAACAAAUAAAAUUGUUGACUGUGCCAUAAAGCGACAGCCGGAGUUGCAGGAGCAGCAAAACCAGGAGCAGCAGCAGAAACAGAAAUAGUAAUGUAGGAGACAACGAACGAGAUUGAAUGAAAAUCCUCGUAUGACAUAAAAAUAAUACGCAACAUGCGAAAACAGGCAAAAAUGCACACACAACAAAUGGGAAGCUUCGAAGGAAAGGAUUCCGGGGCGUAUUAGUUAUAUUUCCCUUCGCCUGUCUAUGUGUCAGUUUUCCCGUGGCGUCAGCUGGCCAGGAUGAGAUGAAGCCAAGCCCGAGCCAAGGCUAAGUCCCAAUCCCAAACCCAAUCCGGACGCGAGCCAAAGCCAAGUGGAGCAACAGAGAAAUGCCGCUGGCAGAACGGCAAUAAUAAUACGUUAUUGCGAAUAUUGAUUGCCCGAAUUACGGGGGAUCCGAGUCCCAGACCCGUCCCAGAAGCGUGCUAGGAUUUCCUUUUUGGCCAGGAAAUUCGCAUGACAGCGUGUGACGGGCACGCACACACACUGGCAAACGCUGGAAAGGCCAGCAGCAGGUGCUCUUUGUUUAACGCCCAAAUGGCUUUCGGGUUUCACCACUAUCCGAAGACUCGAAAAACACACUCGAACGGCGCAAGGCCGCGGGAUAUCUGAUGACAUGCAACGAUUCUGUCAACAGGAAAGCCAAGUCAAACUAAGCGAGGCCCAGCCCAGGCCAGGCCAGACCAGACCAGCUGUGAUUAAUAAACAAAUUGGAAUACCUUCGGCUAAAUAAAGACCCGAAGACGCGACUCAAUAAAUCACCGGCUUAUCCACUCCCCGCCCGGCCAAAUCAAUUAUAUGCCAGCAGCACACACAAAAACAUGGCCUUUGACAACACGAAUCCAGGGCCAGGAGGCACGGCAGAUAAUUUAUUGAUUACCAUUAACAAACAGCAUGUCAAGUAAGUGUCAUUAGAAUGUCAACGCAUGUUGACGAAGACGCUGCCCCCCGGAUUUGCCUGUCUGGCUCGGCAGUCGGCCAGUUGGCCAUCUGGCUGAUGGACAGCUCGGCUGACCCCUGACCCAUCAGCCCGCGCCCUGGGCCUCUGUCACGCUCAUUAAUUUGCGCGGAGUGUGCGAACAAGUUCAUUUCGUUUGCAAUUUCCUGCCAAAGGCGUUGGGUUACUGACCGCGGCUCCAUCACAGUUGACAACGCAAAUUGACCAAGUUGGCGGGCCAAGAAGCAGCCACCUUGGCAGCUGUCUUCGCUGACGGCCGACACAAAAAAGCACACAAAAUACUGACAGUUUGACAAAUUGUUUAUGUAAAUGGAAGUGCAAGUGGUCGAGCAGCGGGAGAGGGGCGAAGGCAGGCCAAGAUGGCCAGGGCAGGUCGCAGGGGCCGAAAAAAGCUUACGCCUAUUGGCUUAGUGACACGUUUCCGUAUCUCGAUUCUGCGGACUCUCCAGCUAUCCAGUUCCAUAGUCCUCCAGCUGCGGGAUCCAUUUCACGCUGCAAGGGGACAGCAGAACGCCCGAGAAACGCUGACAGGCCGGGCCGUGAAUGGUUUUGUCGGCCCCAUAAAUGACAACGACCUUCGCGGGGGAGGGCUGGGUUUCAGAGGGUUGGCUCUGCGGGAAAGACACCGCCCAGGCAAUUAAAAAUUGCUGUCUUGAAAUUUCAACGGCGGGCAGCGUCUAGCCUGCGGCGAGUUAUAUAGUUUAGGACCUCAGUUCGUCGUCUGCAGCACUGGGAAAAAAGAAGCCUAAUGUAAAAACAGAAACUUACACGGAGCAAAAUGUUGGU
Drosophila biarmipes is the source of this 4026-nucleotide long non-coding RNA. RefSeq lists it as uncharacterized. The transcript has 3 exons. NCBI's taxonomy places the organism in Eukaryota, Metazoa, Arthropoda, Insecta, Diptera, Drosophilidae. The record is from RefSeq and is a predicted model, not a curated record.